CCUGCUCAACAUCUCCCUUUUCAGACUUCCAGAUCUCCUACCCUCUACUUUGUUUACCAUUGCAUCCAUACCUCCUACACAUUCUCUUCCUCUUCCUGCUUGGAGAGGUAAUGCUCGAACAACACGAAACCAUGAUUUUAUUCAAGCAGCACAUAAAGCCAAGCUAUCUGGUGUGAGCACACAUUGUAGCAUUUUGGCCUUGCAAACAGCUCAUAUUUCUACUUCCCCUCCUACCACAUCCCAUUCUCCUCCCUCCUGCUGUCUCUCCCCACCACCCACCCACCCACCCCCCAUCCUGCUUGGCUACCUCCCCCAACACUGCCUAAUCUCAUUCUAUUCCAACCUUCGCCAUCUGGUUCUUCAACAUCUGUGGUCUCCAUUUAAACUACUAUGAGCUCACCUGUCAGAUGCUGUCCAAAGGUAUGUUCCCCCCACCUUCGUGAGCCAUUCUGUACAGCUACUGCUCUGCAUCCGAGCUGCCUACUCAUGCCCACAUGUCCGUCUGCAUGCCCGCAACGCUCUGCUGUACCUCACACAAGAGUGUCGAGCGGAGUCUUUGGGCUCCUUCCUGCCCGGGGUGGUCGACAUGUUGGAGGUUCUGCUCACGGAGCACAAGCUGCACAGCCAGGAACUUGCACUGUUAAUCCUCACUUCGCUCACCCCUGACCCUUUUGUCCGACGUUCGAUCAACCAAGGCAGCUUGUCCCACCCCGUGAGAGAGCUGGGUGCCGAGCUUGAUAAAGUACGAGAUCUUGUCGCUUCACUACUCACUCGAUGCCAAUCACCUUCACCGACACCCUCACCCGGAGCCGUGCUGGAUCCCUCACCCGGAGCCGUGCUGGAUCCCUCACCUGGAGCCGUGCUGGAUCCCUCAUGAAACCGCCAAAAAAACCCCACAUCCCUCAGCAGGGAUCAAGGCUUCACAGCUGGAACUGGAAGUGCUUUCACCUCCAUUAGUUCUUCCGAAAUCCAAUACAAACAUCACUAACUCCACCUCUUUAAUGUAUCAGCUGUGUGUUCCAUUAACGAUUAGCUUGUAGAGCGCUCGCCAAGCGGCUUAAGCACUCCGACGAAACGGCUGAUCAGGAACGGCUGGCUUAGCAAGCACCGGCUAGCUGAUUGGUCAUGGAACACACCUCAGGUGCAAUUUUUCCGCCAUUCAAGAACUGUAACCUGAGUUUGUGUUCAGGAUUUAUGACCAUAAAACAAGCAUCACUUGGAGCUGUUUAUUUCACAUUCAACGUUAUUAAUUAUAUAAUUUUUCCACCGUGUUUUCAAACACAGACAGCAGAAAACUUCUUCUUCUUCCUCUUUUUCUUCCUCUUCUUCUUCCUCUUCAACCUCUUCUUCUAUUCUUCUUCUUCUUCUUUCGUUUUCAGCAUGUGGCUCUGAAUAGCAUCAUUGGCUCAGAAGUGAGCGCAUACUGUGCCACUGAUACAACACCAUCUGUAGGUUAGGACAGGCAAUUAGAUUUGGCCAUGCUGCCGGCGAUAGCUCGCCUACUCUUCACCAAGGACAUUGUGGGAUCUUUAACUUCCACCAACUAAUUCCGACAGACGAGACGCCGAGUUUAACAUCCAUUCCGAGGGACGUGCCACACAUGACGAAUCACCCUGCAUGUGAAACGCCAAGAUGACAAUUUACAUCUGCAUCGGGAUUCGAACCUCGGGCAGACAACUCAAAGGGAAAUACACAUUCCUCCAGGCUAUCCUUGCCAGUCUUUAAAAACCUUUAUAGUUUUCGUCGUGACCUUGUCUUGUGAGUUUUCGUCGAACUUGUCUUACCGAGUGCUUGAGGCCUAUCCAUCUCCCCCUCGGUGUAUGAUCGUGUUUAUUUGUAUUUUCUCCCCAUUACCUUCAAUUUCUAUCUUCCCCACUUUCCCAACGCCCCCAUCCCUCCCAACUAAACACUCUAUUUCUUGUCUUAAAUAAUAAAAUAAAAAACUACCUUUCUCCUUGCACACACAAGUCUCGAUUUUUCUUCUUAUUCUGCAUCCUCCUCUUCUUCUUCCUCCUGCCGGCACACCAUCUUUAUUCGACUGAGCUGACCCUCUCUCGCCAUGACCUUCACGGUCUCUUCCGAUCUACAACCUUCCAUUCCCGAAUCUUACCUGUUCUUCAAAAAUACAUCAAAAAAUAAUAAUCUUCCUUGUCUCCUUUCGAUCUCGACACCUCCUGUAAUCACGUGUCUCUCUCUACUCUUCCUGGUACUUUUCAUCGACCCAGCAGCUUCACACUGUGUUUACCGUUCCAAAUUCACCACACACUUCCACGAUUUUACUUCAACCUUCCUUUUUCCAAACGUUACGCAAUCCGAUUGAAAAUAAAUAAUUUCACUUUUGAUGAUACACCUCCUAUAGCCACGUCCCCCCCCC
RNAcentral lists this long non-coding RNA (2374 nucleotides) under Eptatretus burgeri (inshore hagfish). Its description in RNAcentral is "lncRNA (ENSEBUG00000017110.1)". Lineage: Eukaryota; Metazoa; Chordata; Myxini; Myxiniformes; Myxinidae. The record is from RNAcentral.